GCCCAGGUGGCGGAACUGGCAGACGCGCUGCGUUCAGGGCGCAGUGCCCCGCGCGGGCGUGCGGGUUCGAAUCCCGCCCUGGGCACCA
This 88-nucleotide transfer RNA is filed under the name Pseudomonadota bacterium. RNAcentral's name for it is "tRNA-Leu". It matches the Rfam family "tRNA". From Rfam's summary of the family: Transfer RNA (tRNA) molecules are approximately 80 nucleotides in length. Their secondary structure includes four short double-helical elements and three loops (D, anti-codon, and T loops). The record is from RNAcentral. RNAcentral also lists the same sequence under 3 other names. Lineage: Bacteria; Pseudomonadati; Pseudomonadota.